CUUGGGGGCAGCCUAAACAUGCAAGUCGAGCGGCAGCGGAAGUAGCUUGCUACUUUGCCGGCGAGCGGCGGACGGGUGAGUAAUGUCUGGGAAACUGCCUGAUGGAGGGGGAUAACUACUGGAAACGGUAGCUAAUACCGCAUAACGUCGCAAGACCAAAGAGGGGGACCUUCGGGCCUCUUGCCAUCAGAUGUGCCCAGAUGGGAUUAGCUAGUAGGUGGGGUAACGGCUCACCUAGGCGACGAUCCCUAGCUGGUCUGAGAGGAUGACCAGCCACACUGGAACUGAGACACGGUCCAGACUCCUACGGGAGGCAGCAGUGGGGAAUAUUGCACAAUGGGCGCAAGCCUGAUGCAGCCAUGCCGCGUGUAUGAAGAAGGCCUUCGGGUUGUAAAGUACUUUCAGCGGGGAGGAAGGUGUUGAGGUUAAUAACCUCAGCAAUUGACGUUACCCGCAGAAGAAGCACCGGCUAACUCCGUGCCAGCAGCCGCGGUAAUACGGAGGGUGCAAGCGUUAAUCGGAAUUACUGGGCGUAAAGCGCACGCAGGCGGUCUGUCAAGUCAGAUGUGAAAUCCCCGGGCUCAACCUGGGAACUGCAUUCGAAACUGGCAGGCUAGAGUCUUGUAGAGGGGGGUAGAAUUCCAGGUGUAGCGGUGAAAUGCGUAGAGAUCUGGAGGAAUACCGGUGGCGAAGGCGGCCCCCUGGACAAAGACUGACGCUCAGGUGCGAAAGCGUGGGGAGCAAACAGGAUUAGAUACUCUGGUAGUCCACGCCGUAAACGAUGUCGACUUGGAGGUUGUGCCCUUGAGGCGUGGCUUCCGGAGCUAACGCGUUAAGUCGACCGCCUGGGGAGUACGGCCGCAAGGUUAAAACUCAAAUGAAUUGACGGGGGCCCGCACAAGCGGUGGAGCAUGUGGUUUAAUUUCGAUGCAACGCGAAGAACCUUACCUACUCUUGACAUCCAGAGAACUUUUCCAGAGAUGGAUUGGUGCCUUCGGGAACUCUGAGACAGUGCUGCAUGGCUGUCGUCAGCUCGUGUUGUGAAAUGUGGGUUUAAGUCCCGCAACGAGCGCCAACCCUUAAUCCUUUUGUCGCCAGCGGUUCCGGCGGGAACUUCAAGGAGACUGGCAGUGAAUAAACUGAGACGGGUGGGGGAUGACGUCAGUCAUCAUGGUCCUUACGAGGUAGGGCUUCCACCACCGGUGUCCUCAUCACCA
Molecule: ribosomal RNA, 1217 nt
Filed under: Enterobacter asburiae
Lineage: Bacteria; Pseudomonadati; Pseudomonadota; Gammaproteobacteria; Enterobacterales; Enterobacteriaceae
Description: bacterial SSU rRNA
Rfam family: Bacterial small subunit ribosomal RNA
Source: RNAcentral